RNAcentral lists this ribosomal RNA (521 nucleotides) under uncultured archaeon. RNAcentral's name for it is "bacterial SSU rRNA". It matches the Rfam family "Archaeal small subunit ribosomal RNA", at positions 325 to 849 of the family's 1478-position model. The record is from RNAcentral.
ACGGGGUGCAGCAGGCGCGAAAACUCCGCAAUACACGAAAGUGUGACGGGGGAACCCCAAGUGCUCUCGCGCAAGCGAGUGCUUUUGUGAAGUGUAAAUAGCUUCAUGAAUAAGAGCUGGGUAAGACCGGUGCCAGCCGCCGCGGUAACACCGGCAGCUCGAGUGGUGAUCACUAUUAUUGGGCCUAAAGCGUCCGUAGCCGGUUUGAUAAGUCCUUGGGCAAAUCCUGCCGCUUAACGGUAGGAAUUCUGAGGAUACUGUCAGACUUGAGGCCGAGAGAGGUCGGAGGUACUUCUGGGGUAGCGGUGAAAUGCUAUAAUCCUAGUGGGACCACCAGUGGCGAAAGCGUCCGACUAGAGCGGGCCUGACGGUAAGGGACGAAAGCCAGGGGAGCGAACGGGAUUAGAUACCCCGGUAGUCCUGGCCGUAAACGCUGUGGGCUAGGUGUUGCAUGCUCUACGAGGGCGUGCAGUGCCGAAGAGAAGUUGAUAAGCCUACCGCCUGGAGUACUAUCGCAAGAU